This 71-nucleotide transfer RNA is filed under the name Camelus bactrianus (Bactrian camel). It matches the Rfam family "tRNA". Rfam says of the family: Transfer RNA (tRNA) molecules are approximately 80 nucleotides in length. RNAcentral also lists the same sequence under 2 other names. The record is from Rfam by way of RNAcentral. Lineage: Eukaryota; Metazoa; Chordata; Mammalia; Artiodactyla; Camelidae.
GAGGGUAUAGCUGAGUGGUAGUGUGCAUGCUUAGAUGUGCAAGAUCCUGGGUUCAACCCCUAGUACCUCCA